AUAUCUCAGACUAUUUAACUGCAAAAAAAAAAAAACAUAUAGAAUAAUGUAUGAACACUGAUUUUUAGUCUUCCCAAUGAAAAAAUAAUCAAAGACUACAAAUAAUUAUAAGUAUAUAUUUUUUACUUCAAUACCACUAGAUGUUUUGUAAGCAACUAGCAAUCAGGUUUCCUAUAAUUAACAGAUUUGUUUCUCUAAAAUUAUACAUUACCAUUGUAUAGAUCAACUGUCAGAAUUUAAUCAACUCUAGUCUAGGUGAUAAGUUCUCUUUUAUCUUUUAUUUCAAUUUUUAUUUUUUUCCUUAAUUUAAUGUAGAUACGUACAAAGAGAGACAACUCUUAUCUUCCAAAUUUUCCAUGUACAACCUUUACAUUAUCAAACCAAAAAUCUAUCUAUCUAUAUUGUGUUUUUGAAAGGAAGGUACUGUCAUGUGAAUAGCAAAAAUAUAUUGAGGCUGUAAUAUUUUUUUCUGCUACAGAUUUCAUGAUCACAAUGUAUGUUUAAAUGAACAUUGAAUUUAUGUUAUCAAAUUUGUGAAUAUUGUUAGAUAUUUUGAUUGUUUUAUUCUUGCCAAAGGAAAGGAGACUGCUUUAGGACUGUUUUAAUAGUGUUCAUUUGAAUUUGCCUUUUCAGAAACUAAAGGACUAUGGGUAAUCUCAUUGUUCGUACACCAAAAUGACAAUAACAUUACAUCAUUGGUUGAAUUUCAAUUAUUUAGAAUGUUUUUAACCAAUCACAACGUUUUGGUGUACACUUUUCAAUGUGUCACCCAGAAUGCAUUAGAUUCUAAAACGACGAAUUAGGAAUAACUCCUGAUGUCAUGUGGAGCAAAGUGUGCCAUGUAAUUUCUUUUAUUUUUCAAAGUUCAUUUUAAUUAAACCAUAUUGAAAGACUGUCUCAAGAAGGAUCACAUUGUUAUUCCAUUAUUUUUGCAUCAUCAGUAAUUUAUUUGUAGCAGUUCAGUUAAAACUUCCAUACAUAAUCACAAUUGUUAAUUAGCCCAAUUUUUAUGGGUCACAUCAAGAAAUCUUUACUGUUUAGAAAAUUUCAUCACUUUCCAGCUGCAGGUCAUCAAAUAAAACAUUAUUUCAUUGCAUGAUCUUUUACCAACCUUUUCUAUUAAUAGAUUUACUUUUCCAAUGUAAAGUUCAAAAUUUGGGACAAAUAAAAGCAAACUUUCAUAAUAUGUCAACUCUCCAGAUAUGAGGGGAAUAGGAUAUUUAUUGGGACUCCGGGAUUGGGUGUUUUUUAAGCUCAGGAUUUGGGGAUUGACCCUUUCGUGAUCUGGGAAUUUUUUUUUUGAAUUUCAAAAUGUUGGGAUUUAAAUUAAUUUUUUUUAUAUUUGUUGUUAAGCCUGGGAUUUCUGGAUCAGGACCCUCAGAUAUUGAUAAUAGGAGCCUCCCAAUACUGGAAAUAUUCUAGUGCUAUCCCUGGGCAGGGAGUUCAAACCUAUAGCUAAGGAGAAAAUUUCUUACAGAACUUCACUCCUAAGUAUAUCACGGAAGCAGGAUAUUUCCUUUGCGAGGCAGUUUAACUGUUUUUGCAGCGCAGCUCAAUGAUGAGUCAAGAGUUUUUAAUCUCUGCUGAUUUUAAGCUAGUAUUUGUUUUAUAUAAAUUUAAAAGUAUUUAAUGGCCUUCCAACAUAUUUGUAUUAAAACAAACUUGUACAUUAGAAUUAUACAUAGUUUUCUAUUUACUGUUCAACGUUAUUCUGAUCUUCAGGGAACCAGUAUUCAUACCAGUAUUUUUACCAUUAUGGAAAGUACCUGGUAUCAAUUAAAUUUUUUUAAAUCAGAUUCAGGUUUUCUGGAGUGAAAUUUUAGAGUGGCCUAUUUCUCCAAUUUUGACAUUUUUUAAAAAUAAAAGUAGUUGGUCAAUAAUAUAGAGUUCUCACACUUUUUAAAUUUAUUAUAUGUGAAGUUUGACAGAAAGUACAAAUUUCUUCCUCAUGAUAAAAUUGAACUGCAAACUCUGAUAAUUUACCAGAAAUCUCAUCUAUACCUAUACAUGUGUAAAAUUUCAAAGUAAAAUGGAUCAAUAAAUAACCCAAUGAGCAAAUAUCAACAAGAUUGAUAAAACGUUUUACUAACAUUUUAUUUAAGUGAAACAAUAUUAAUUUUUGGUAUUUUAUACUCCAUCAAUUUUUACUUUUCCUAAAAGCUUAUUAAGCAACAACAAAAAAUUAUACUUGUUAACGUAUUAGAUAAAUGAUAAAAUAAAUCAAUUUUAGCAUAACAGAAUAGCAUUAUAUUCUUAAUUUAAGUUUUACUUAUUUGUUCUAUCAAGGAGGUUAUAUUAGAAGGAGAGAGGACAAAAGACGAUAAUU
Molecule: long non-coding RNA, 2326 nt
Filed under: Mytilus galloprovincialis (Mediterranean mussel)
Lineage: Eukaryota; Metazoa; Mollusca; Bivalvia; Mytilida; Mytilidae
Source: RNAcentral